Molecule: ribosomal RNA, 450 nt
Filed under: uncultured bacterium
Lineage: Bacteria
Description: partial 16S ribosomal RNA
Rfam family: Bacterial small subunit ribosomal RNA
Source: RNAcentral
GUGGGGAAUCUUCCGCAAUGGGCGAAAGCCUGACGGAGCAACGCCGCGUGAACGAGGAAGGUCUUCGGAUCGUAAAGUUCUGUUGCAGGGGACGAACGGCACUAUAGCCAAUAAGUAUAGUGAAUGACGGUACCCUGUUAGAAAGCCACGGCUAACUACGUGCCAGCAGCCGCGGUAAUACGUAGGCGGCAAGCGUUGUCCGGAAUCAUUGGGCGUAAAGGGAGCGCAGGCGGAACAUUAAGCGGAUCUUAAAAGUGCGGGGCUCAACCCCGUGAUGGGGUCCGAACUGAGGUUCUUGAGUGCAGGAGAGGAAAGCGGAAUUCCCAGUGUAGCGGUGAAAUGCGUAGAUAUUGGGAAGAACACCAGUGGCGAAGGCGGCUUUCUGGACUGUAACUGACGCUGAGGCUCGAAAGCCAGGGUAGCGAACGGGAUUAGAAACCCUAGUAGUCC